Daphnia carinata is the source of this 709-nucleotide long non-coding RNA. RefSeq lists it as uncharacterized. The transcript is spliced from 5 exons. NCBI's taxonomy places the organism in Eukaryota, Metazoa, Arthropoda, Branchiopoda, Diplostraca, Daphniidae. The record is from RefSeq and is a predicted model, not a curated record.
GUCGUGUGUGAAACUUGUGGUGUGCAUCUGACGGGCGAAAUUUUGGAAACAUCAGGCAGAAUUGGGAAUAUCACAAGUUGUGAACAAGACAUUGUGGUGUCUUUGCCAUCAUUCUCUCAUCUCGAUGCCAGAUGGCCAUUAAGAAGGAUCAUAAAUGUGUGAUCCUGAGCACGGAGAAAAGAUUGUUGCUGAUAUAGAGUUUUGUAAAGAUGGAUCCCACAGUCCACGACUGAAAGAAGUAGGACAGAAAAUUCCAUCUUCAUCGAAAAGGGGAGGUUUGCAUUUUAAGGAGCAGUACAUAUUGGCCGCCAUGUAGCUAUGUAGUUGCUUUGAAGAAUUUUUUCCCUUGUCUGGUGAUUGGUUGGACUUUGAAUACCUCCUAUCCUUAUAGCCAUGGAACACGUGACAUUGACUCCAUUUACACUUGAGGAAGCAAUAACGAACAUAUUUGCAACAAGUAUUAUUUGUGACCAUAAAACCAAAAAUUGUUUAUUUUUUAAAGCACCUAUAUUUAAAAGACAUCUAGCGGAGGAAUUGCUUGUUACUGAGUACUCUACUGAACUGUCAAUUUGUUCGUUGUCAGGGGGCUACAUCGAGUUGGUUGCCUCGCGAAUUGGAAAUGUUUUGCCGAAUUCCAGGAUAUCGCCAAGUGUGCCAUAUUGUCACAAUCGUUUUUCUCCUUAGGAUAUUACCAAUGUGCAGUUGAAUU